RNAcentral lists this ribosomal RNA (677 nucleotides) under uncultured eukaryote. RNAcentral's name for it is "SSU rRNA". It matches the Rfam family "Eukaryotic small subunit ribosomal RNA", at positions 527 to 1209 of the family's 1831-position model. The record is from RNAcentral.
UCAUCUCUUCACGAGGAUCAAUUGGAGGGCAAGUCUGGUGCCAGCAGCCGCGGUAAUUCCAGCUCCAAUAGCGUAUAUUAAAGUUGUUGCAGUUAAAACGCUCGUAGUCGGAUUUCGGGGCAGGUUUGCCGGUCUGCCGAUGGGUAUGCACUGGUAGAACUGUCCUUCCUUCCGGAGACGGCGCCUACUCUUAACUGAGCGGGUGUCGGAGACGGAUCGUUUACUUUGAAAAAAUCAGAGUGUUUCAAGCAGGCAGCUCGCUUUUGCAUGGAUUAGCAUGGGAUAAUGAAAUAGGACUUUGGUGCUAUUUUGUUGGUUUCGAACACCGAAGUAAUGAUUAACAGGGACAGUCAGGGGCACUCGUAUUCCGCCGAGAGAGGUGAAAUUCUUAGACCAGCGGAAGACGAACCACUGCGAAAGCAUUUGCCAGGGAUGUUUUCACUGAUCAAGAACGAAAGUUAGGGGAUCGAAGACGAUCAGAUACCGUCGUAGUCUUAACCAUAAACCAUGCCGACUAGGGAUUGGAGGAUGUUCCUAUGUGACUCCUUCAGCACCUUUCGGGAAACUAAAGUCUUUGGGUUCCGGGGGGAGUAUGGUCGCAAGGCUGAAACUUAAAGGAAUUGACGGAAGGGCACCACCAGGAGUGGAGCCUGCGGCUUAAUUUGACUCAACACGCA